Molecule: ribosomal RNA, 445 nt
Filed under: uncultured Rhizobiaceae bacterium
Lineage: Bacteria; Pseudomonadati; Pseudomonadota; Alphaproteobacteria; Hyphomicrobiales; Rhizobiaceae
Description: bacterial SSU rRNA
Rfam family: Bacterial small subunit ribosomal RNA
Source: RNAcentral
UUCCUACGGGUGGCAGCAGUGGGGAAUAUUGGACAAUGGGCGAAAGCCUGAUCCAGCCAUGCCGCGUGAGUGAUGAAGGCCCUAGGGUUGUAAAGCUCUUUCAGCGGGGAAGAUAAUGACGGUACCCGCAGAAGAAGCCCCGGCUAACUUCGUGCCAGCAGCCGCGGUAAUACGAAGGGGGCUAGCGUUGUUCGGAAUCACUGGGCGUAAAGCGCGUGUAGGCGGAUUGUUAAGUCAGGGGUGAAAUCCUGAGGCUCAACCUCAGAACUGCCUUUGAUACUGGCGAUCUUGAGUCCGGGAGAGGUGAGUGGAACUCCUAGUGUAGAGGUGAAAUUCGUAGAUAUUAGGAAGAACACCAGUGGCGAAGGCGGCUCACUGGCCCGGUACUGACGCUGAUAUGCGAAAGCGUGGGGAGCAAACAGGAUUAGAUACCCGUGUAGUCAUU